CGAGUUGGCCGGGCGGCCGCGGCACCGGUGGAAACCGGGGUCGAGGAAAGUCCGGACUUCACAGAGCAGGGUGAUUGCUAACGGCAAUCCGAGGUGACUCGCGGGAAAGUGCCACAGAAAACAGACCGCCACCUGAGUCCUUUGGACGCAGGGGUAAGGGUGAAACGGUGCGGUAAGAGCGCACCAGCACCCCGGGUGACCGGGGUGGCUAGGCAAACCCCACCCGAAGCAAGGCCAAGAAGGCCGCAACCUGGUUGCGGCCGCGCAGGCGUCCGAGGGUUGCUCGCCCGAGCCUGCGGGUAGGCCGCUUGAGGCACCCGGCGACGGUGUGUCCAGAUGGAUGGUCGCCGCCUUGCCCCUCCGGGGUGAGGGACAGAAUCCGGCUUACAGGCCAGCUCGUUCG
This 403-nucleotide RNase P RNA is filed under the name Mycolicibacterium setense. RNAcentral's name for it is "RNase P RNA component class A". It matches the Rfam family "Bacterial RNase P class A". Rfam says of the family: Ribonuclease P (RNase P) is a ubiquitous endoribonuclease, found in archaea, bacteria and eukarya as well as chloroplasts and mitochondria. Its best characterised activity is the generation of mature 5'-ends of tRNAs by cleaving the 5'-leader elements of precursor-tRNAs. Cellular RNase Ps are ribonucleoproteins. The record is from RNAcentral. Lineage: Bacteria; Bacillati; Actinomycetota; Actinomycetes; Mycobacteriales; Mycobacteriaceae.